UGAGGAAUAUUGGUCAAUGGCCGGAAGGCUGAACCAGCCAAGCCGCGUGAAGGACGAAGGUGCCAAGCAUUGUAAACUUCUUUUGUCAAGGGACAAAAUCAGGCUCGAGAGCCUGACCGAGGGUAUUUGAAGAAAAAGCAUCGGCUAACUCCGUGCC
This 157-nucleotide ribosomal RNA is filed under the name uncultured bacterium. RNAcentral describes it as "partial 16S ribosomal RNA". It matches the Rfam family "Bacterial small subunit ribosomal RNA", at positions 355 to 509 of the family's 1533-position model. The record is from RNAcentral.